UCUACAAAUAAGACAUAGAAUUUUUGUCCCUUUUGAUUAAGAUAUUUCUGAAUAAUAGAAUGUAAAACAAAUAUGUUAUCAAUAGUAGUGUAUCCCUUCCUAAAGCCAACUUGUGAUUCUGUUAUCUUGUCUAGAGUAUCUGCCCAUUUAACUAACCUCUUAUUUAUGGUAGAUGUAAAUAUUUUGCUAAAUAUGCUUAAUAACGUUAUGCCCCUAUAAUUUUCAGGAUUGUUUACGUAAACAAUAUCUUCUC
This is a long non-coding RNA of Haliotis rubra (blacklip abalone), 253 nucleotides long. RefSeq lists it as uncharacterized. The record is from RefSeq and is a predicted model, not a curated record. The transcript has 3 exons. Lineage: Eukaryota; Metazoa; Mollusca; Gastropoda; Lepetellida; Haliotidae.